GAUGAACGCUGGCGGCGUGCCUAAUACAUGCAAGUCGAGCGAACAGAUGAGGAGCUUGCUCCUCUGACGUUAGCGGCGGACGGGUGAGUAACACGUGGAUAACCUACCUAUAAGACUGGGAUAACUUCAGGAAACCGGAGCUAAUACCGGAUAAUAUAUUGAACCGCAUGGUUCAAUAGUGAAAGACGGUUUUGCUGUCACUUAUAGAUGGAUCCGCGCCGCAUUAGCUAGUUGGUAAGGUAACGGCUUACCAAGGCAACGAUGCGUAGCCGACCUGAGAGGGUGAUCGGCCACACUGGAACUGAGACACGGUCCAGACUCCUACGGGAGGCAGCAAUAGGGAAUCUUCCGCAAUGGGCGAAAGCCUGACGGAGCAACGCCGCGUGAGUGAUGAAGGUCUUCGGAUCGUAAAACUCUGUUAUUAGGGAAGAACAAAUGUGUAAGUAACUAUGCACGUCUUGACGGUACCUAAUCAGAAAGCCACGGCUAACUACGUG
RNAcentral lists this ribosomal RNA (497 nucleotides) under uncultured bacterium. RNAcentral's name for it is "partial 16S ribosomal RNA". It matches the Rfam family "Bacterial small subunit ribosomal RNA", at positions 28 to 507 of the family's 1533-position model. The record is from RNAcentral.